UUUAUUUAUUCCACAAAAUCCAUCAUUGGUCAACAGUCUCAAAUAGAACAGCUACUUCUUUUUACUUUGGAAAGAAUGUCUGAAGUACAAAGAGUGUUUGAACCCAACACCUUUCAUCUUGAACCGUGGGCUGCCGGGAAAAGGAAACCUGUAGCAGUUUCCUCGAGUCACUUAGUGCUGAUUCACUUAGGUGGAAGUGGAUCCUCCUGAUAUGCCUUUCAGCUCUAAGAGCUUUAACGACGCCUAGCACAGCGGUGUCACCGACAGUGCCAUUGAUACAUCACAAUUCUCGGCUUUCCAGGGGCAGAAACAGAAGGCUAAUGCAGAUUGCUUAUUAAAGGUACACCCAGCUGCAGAAGCGUGCCAGAUGAGACAAUCCCCCAGUAGCCAUGUAAUGAGAAGUUUCCCUCUCAAGAGUGAAAAAUAGGCAGUAAAACCCCAAAACAAGAUGGCAAAGGAGUGGAACCACAUAUGGCUCCAGACUGUAGCAUUCAUCAGGGAGUUAUAUUUUGGUGUCAGAAAAUGAUCAGAUAGCCUGCCCCAAAUUUCAGUGCUGCGAUAUUCUUGCUUCUGUAACAACCACAAUGGAAUACAUUUCUUAUGUCACUGGGACUAGAUCAGGUACUGCUACAAAACCCAUGAAGAGUACUAUUGAAGAGUACUAUUACAGCAAGAAGGAGAAGAUUUUCAUAUCCUUAUUCAACUUCAAAUGCAUUCCCCGUAACCAGAAAUAG
RNAcentral lists this long non-coding RNA (734 nucleotides) under Cyanistes caeruleus (blue tit). Its description in RNAcentral is "lncRNA (ENSCCEG00000000916.1)". Lineage: Eukaryota; Metazoa; Chordata; Aves; Passeriformes; Paridae. The record is from RNAcentral.